RNAcentral lists this ribosomal RNA (627 nucleotides) under Epichloe glyceriae. Its description in RNAcentral is "eukaryotic LSU rRNA". It matches the Rfam family "Eukaryotic large subunit ribosomal RNA", at positions 1 to 649 of the family's 3401-position model. The record is from RNAcentral. Lineage: Eukaryota; Fungi; Ascomycota; Sordariomycetes; Hypocreales; Clavicipitaceae.
UUGACCUCGAAUCAGGUAGGAAUACCCGCUGAACUUAAGCAUAUCAAUAAGCGGAGGAAAAGAAACCAACAGGGAUUGCCCCAGUAACGGCGAGUGAAGCGGCAACAGCUCAAAUUUGAAAUCUGGCCCCCCGGGGCCCGAGUUGUAAUUUGCAGAGGAUGCUUUUGGCGAGGCGCCUUCCGAGUUCCCUGGAACGGGACGCCACAGAGGGUGAGAGCCCCGUCUGGUUGGAUGCCGAGCCUCUGUAAAGCUCCUUCGACGAGUCGAGUAGUUUGGGAAUGCUGCUCUAAAUGGGAGGUAUAUGUCUUCUAAAGCUAAAUAUUGGCCAGAGACCGAUAGCGCACAAGUAGAGUGAUCGAAAGAUGAAAAGCACUUUGAAAAGAGGGUUAAAUAGUACGUGAAAUUGUUGAAAGGGAAGCGCUCAUGACCAGACUUGGGCCCGGUGAAUCAUCCAGCGUUCUCGCUGGUGCACUUUGCCAGGCUCAGGCCAGCAUCAGUUUGCCCCGGGGGACAAAGGCUCUGGGAAUGUGGCUCCUCCGGGAGUGUUAUAGCCCUCUGCGCAAUGCCCUGGGGCGGACUGAGGUUCGCGCAUCUGCAAGGAUGCUGGCGUAAUGGUCAUCAGCGACC